RNA transcript from Eucalyptus grandis, 1659 nucleotides. RefSeq lists it as uncharacterized. The record is from RefSeq and is a predicted model, not a curated record. Lineage: Eukaryota; Viridiplantae; Streptophyta; Magnoliopsida; Myrtales; Myrtaceae. The transcript has 10 exons.
AUCCCGCUGCUCAGGCAAGCAAGAGAGCAGCAGCGAUCGAGAAAAGUUUGGAACUUUCGGUCUGCAAGCUCUCAAAAUGAAGACUUGUAGAGCUGGGUCAUCUUGGGUAUGUCCUCGUCCUCGCUUGUCCCGGUGCUUUAGAUCGGACGCUGCUCUGGCGGCCAUCGCCAGAGCCCGCGACGAGCGUGUCCCCAACCUCGCCCUCUACAACUACCCAUCGUUCUCGGGUGCAUUCUCCGCCCUCUUCGCCCGCCUCUUCCACUCCCGCAUCCGCGUGCCUUGCCUCAUCUUGCCUUUCUCCUCUGUCGAACCCUUCAGAGAUGCGGAUUUGCAUAUCCCUGGACUGGAAAAAUGUUAUCUUCUUGACUUUCUUGGCCCAAAAGGAUUUGCAGCGAAGCUUGCACAGCAAUCUUUCUGCAAGAUAAUUGCAUUUGAGCACAGAAAGUCAGCUUUUUCACAUGCUUCUGCCAAAGAGGAUUGCCCUGAGAACCUUGUCAUCCAUUCCAAUACUGAGAAGAGCAGCGUAACUGCUGUCUAUGAAUACUUUUCUGCUCAACUUGCAGAAAACAGAUCUACUAAUGAGGGGCCAGGUCUUUUAGACCCCCAGGAUCAAGAGCGCAUGGAGAUGGUACUUAAGUACAUUGAAGAUGGAGAUCUUCGCCGUUGGACCUUACCAGACAUCAAGGCUUUUAAUAUUGGAUUGAGCGAGAGGCGUUCAAAGUUAAAUUGCAUCACUAAUCCAUUCAUGUAUGAACAGUUAUUGGAUAUAAGUGCCGUGGAUUUGAUUGCUAAAGGAAAUGCUUACACCACUGCUAGACAGAACUCUGCAUCUAAAUUUUUGGAGAAAGUUUUUAAAGUUCGAUUAGGCAGGGGGCUUUAUGGGGAAUGUCUGGGAAUUAGGGCUGAUGGGAUUUCUGAUUCAAGUGAUGAAAUUGGGAAGCAAUUAAGUGUAAAAAGUGCGGCAUUGGGCUUGAGGCCAAUUGGAGCAGUGGUGUACAUGCAGCGGAAUAACCUGAAGAUAAGUUUGAGAAGCACUGAUGAUGCAACUGAUACUUCAGAAGUUGCAAAGGCAUAUGGCGGAGGCGGUACCCCUGCUUCUAGUUCCUUUAUCAUAAGGAUGGAUGAGUAUAAUCACUGGCUUUCAGUAAAUUCACCCUGAGUACAUAUUGAUCUUCACUCAAGAUUGUCUUCCUGGAACAGUAAAAAGAGUUGUCCCGAAGUGAUGAUACUAAUGGGAAGGGUGAAUACAAAUGCAAGGGCGCUACCAAAGAGAAUCCCCCACCAUGGCAUUUGGACCUGAUCAUUCAGGAAGAUGCAUAGAGCAAGAGACACCACCAGACUUACAAUGAGCAACAAGUGAAACCACCAUGAGGGUAUGUCUUUGUAUCGCCUCAUCAAUUUUGUAUGGAUAUCUGCCUUCCCUUUGUGAGAAUCACGAUAGCGCUCAUAGAUCUCUCUGUUGAAUGUAAUUGUACAUCACUGUCUACAUGUCUGAUGAAUUCAAGAAAAUCAAAUACUUUACAGGGAAAAAAAAAAACACCGUUCUGAUUCUUGAGAGUUUUUUCAUUAUCUUAGUCAUUACAUUUCUGUGUUAUAACUAUAAGGAUCACCUUAGUUUGCAGAAAAGUUAUUUGAAACUGUAAAUUCAGUUUCUUUCAA